RNAcentral lists this long non-coding RNA (6806 nucleotides) under Triticum aestivum (bread wheat). Its description in RNAcentral is "long non-coding RNA (TAES_LNC009734)". Lineage: Eukaryota; Viridiplantae; Streptophyta; Magnoliopsida; Poales; Poaceae. The record is from RNAcentral.
UGGCGGUGGUGGAGGAGCGUCACUGGAAUUUGGAUCACGCACUGGGCACAUCACAAUGCUGGAAAUCAGGUGACGUGGAGUGAUCCUGAUAGUGGAGCCAAUUUUCUUGUUGACCUGUGCCUUCUGAUCCAUCAUUAUUCAAGCCAUACAUUGCAGUCUAAAAUUCGUGACCACCAGGUGUUUGCGUUUAUGCGCACAAGGCUUCUCAUUUUCUAUUUUAAUGACCCGUACUUCCCAAUCAAGGCAGAAUCGAACAAUGCCAGGAAAUCCUAGAUUCCAACCUAGAGUUUGUUUGUUUGUUUGUUUGUUUGUUUGUGUGUGUGUGUCUCCACAAAGCUUUUCGCUUUUUCUGUCCAAUCUUAUAUGCUGCUAUACAAUUGUGUAAAUCUCAUAUCGAACAAACGUAUGAUGAUGACAUCUAUACCGCUAUAUUGCACACAAAUAGCUUUCAAUAUAGACAAAAUCCUAGAGGCUCGCUAGGUUGUUACAAGAGACGGCGGUCAAAUGACAUAGUCAGCUAGUUCUACUAUGGGUCGACACCAAAACAACACAGAAAAGAAAACCUACUAGAAAGUACUAGAUCCUAACUACAUCUGUAUAGUCGUGGGAGUAUGGGACCCACACCAACCUUGUCGCCGGCUGGCGGCUAGCCUGAGAUGAGAGGGGAGGGGCCAACAGUGGAACAGAGCAGAACGCCGUGGUUACUUCUUCUCCCUCCAGUUGCACUUGCAGCGCGAAAAAGAGAGGAUGUCGCUUUCCGAGACUUCUUUCCUGAAUCUUCAGGCAGUAGAGAUAACAGCUUGGACUUCACCUGUAUGUACAGCACAACUCCGUGGGUUUAUAACAUAGAAGAAAGAAAUGUCAUGUACUCCGGUGACCAUAAAGAAAUGUUGGGGGUACCUUUUAGCUCUCUUUCCUAGUAGGGAACCACAGCUAUCAAAAUGGGUAGCUGCGUUCACCAAAUUUGUAACACGUCUCUCCUGACCCAAAUAGUAGUUUGUGUCUCCUGCAAAGUUAACACAUAGUUAAACUGAUGCCCAGAUCACAGUCCGACAGGAGAUAAUUCUGGUUAAUACAUUGAAACAAUACUUUAUAUAGGAAUAUCAUCUCUCAGGCUCACAACUGAUUUCAGGAGAUGAUGACAUGGAAGAAGUGAGUAAGAAACAAAAUGGCUGAUGAGAAGUGGGGUAUACCUAUUCUGACAUGACCGAUGCGGGAAAUCUUGUUCCAUUCAGAGCUCUCUUUCUGUUUCCAGCUUUCCUCCACCUCUGGAUCACAUUCUCUGAUAAUGAAAGACUCCAGCGAAGAGGGCAGGUCAGGAAACGGGAGGCGACGGCGAACUUCAUCAAACUCCAGUCUCUUGAGAAAGCAAAAGUCUUCUAGCCUUAAUGUAAUCUCCGGCUUCAAUAUCUCCAGGGUCUCAACGGACCUAUUUUGUCUCAUCCAUCUCUGAGAUAUUGUUCCACAUCCAACGGAGAUGAUCAAGUUUUUUUGUGCUACACAAUCUGUUCAGUGGCUCCAUUUUAACAUGAAGGUGGUAUGGAUCCAGAGGGAGUCCUUCAAGGCGACCCCAACCAAUGAAUCUCCAUACAUUUCACCUAUUUCUGCAGCCAGCUGAAGCUGGUCACAGUCUGUAAUUUCUAGCCAACUGAGAUAUGAAAGAGCUCCAAGCCCACCCAAGGAUGACAAGAAAAUACAGUCUUUUGCAACCAUUUCUCGCAGUGCCGUGAGACUCCGGAACACCUCUGAUGAUGGAAGAGACUUCACCCUGGAGCAGUUGCACAAACUUAAUGAUGUAAGAUUAGUGAGACCAACCAGUGAAUUCAGCAAAGGAAGUUGGAGGUCACCACACUGCACCAUAGAGAUUUCCUUAAGCGUGCAAGGGAGUAGUCCACCAUCAACCUUCGGCAUCGUCAUUCUCAAUGAGUAACAGCACCCAAUACGAAAUUCCGUAAGAUCAUUCAUGCUCCCAAAUGAUAAAGGAGCAUGGAUUAACCUUUUACAGUCAACAAUCUUUAGGAUCUGAAGAGUGCAGAUAUAGUGCUCCUGCAGUAGAAAGCUCUCUGCCAACAUGGUCAAAUUUGAACAAUUGCUGAUGAUGACUGAUACUAACUUGGGUGGCAUGGCCUCAGAACCAAUGUUACCAUGGUGGACAACAAUUCUCGGGAGGAUGUCCAAUCCAACAUUAUUUAUUUCCAGCUGCAUCAAAGUCAGAGGUAGAAGUGGCAGUUUCCUUAAUCCCUGGCAUCCUUCCACCACUAGGGUUUUCAGAUUUUGAGGCAAGGAAUCACCAGAUGAUUGUCCAAUCUGUUUCAAUCCAGUAAGGUUUUGCAAUUCGAGAUGCUUGAGUAGCUGUAGAUUUCCAAGAGAUGGAAGGCACACCCAAUUUUUGCACUGUCUCAGCUCAAGUGACACCAUAUUGACCAGUGGGGGAUGGUUUAUUCAAGGUGGGAAUCGGACACCACUGUAUCCUGUAAUUUCAAGAUUUUCAAGACGAGCAUGUGGCUCAAGUAUAUCAAGAACCAGAUUGUCUUCCUUCAGAGCCUCAUUAGUUUCAGACCAGUUAAGUGACAGUGACCUAAGAUAGGAUUUCUCAUUUAUCUUGGCCUCUAUAACCUCUUCAUGCCUUUCAACAUUCUCAAGGUUGCACAGUCGUAGCUUGCAAAGGCUUGUUAAAUUCAUCAAUGAACUUAUUCGGUAACCUUCCUCUGACUGAAUACUGAAGUUAUACAAUUCUUGAAGUGAAGUUAAUCUGCCAACAGGACACUGACCAAAUCCAUUAGUACCAUAGGACACAUACCACAGGUGAAACAGGUUUUCCAUAUUCUCCACUUGUUCUGAUGCUGUACCUAUUCUUUUCGCUGCAAUAAGUACUUGUAAAUGAUAGAGCUUAGAAAGUCCAUGUAUUUUCUCAAUCGUAGAGAAAGAGAUAUAACGAAGGUGCUUGUUAGCAACUUCUUUCGGGAAACAGAACUUGGUUACCCCUUUUAAGCUCAAUAACCGUAAGCACUUAAGUUUUUCUAUAACUUCCUCCAGUGCAUAUACAUGACCAGUGCUGACAUGAUAAGAAUCUUCCACGACGAGUGUACGCAAACUCUUAAAGCAGGAAAUGGCCUUGAUCUCCUCACAUGAUAACUUGCUGAAGUUUGCUAUCCAUAAGGGCUAGUUUGGUUCCCCCGAUUCCCCCCGGGAUCCCGGCCUUAUCCCUGGGCGGAGAAAGCACCGGCCAAUCGGACCCCGGAUUAUUCGGCAGUCAGUUUGGAAGUCCAUUGGACGGGGAUAUCCUGGCCCAAUCCACGACAUAUCUACGGGGGGAAAAUCCACGACUGCGGAGAUCGGGGACGAAACCCCAUCUCUCUCGUGCGAAAGCAAACUUCCUUCGUCUCGUGGAUCCCCUCGCCUCCUCCAACGCCUUCCUCUCUCAAGCAGCAAAGCCUAUGACCUCGUCUGCUCCCUCAAGCCCACGAUAUUUGUCAAACUUCCAUGCCCUUCCCCGUGAUGCCCAAAUGGCACCAGGGAUAUCUCCCUAUUGUGAGAGGGGAUGCCAUGAGCACAGGAAAAAUCUCUCCCGGUGACUGCUACCCUGGGUUUUCCCUCCUCAGCAACCAAAUGAGCCCUAAGUGUCUAACCGUACACUUAUGAUGCAGAAAACCACCGGAUUCAAGUCUUAGGCAUUCACCGGUAGAGACAUUACGUGCCAACUCAUGCAAUAAAUCAUGCACAACAUAGUACUCUGUGCUGUAUUUCUGGUAAGGAUUUACUGUUGGCACAAAAGUAAAGAAUGACUUUCUUGCCAACUGCUGCAAAUUAUCUUUCUCCCAUGUCUUCUGGCCUUUUGGUCCCACCUUCAGUUUGCAGGAUCAGUCCUGAACCCAUCCACAUUUUCACUAUGUCUUCCUUCUUAAACUUCUGUCCUUUUGGAAAUAUGCUACAGUAUCUAAAACAAAGCUGCAACUGUUCAGGUAGAUGAUGGUUGCUCGAUCGAAGAACAGUUGUGACGAUAACAUCUGUGCUUCCUUCUAAAUGUUCUAAUUGUCUCUCUAAGUUCUUCCAGUGCUCAUCAGUUACAUUGCUACGUAGAUGGCCACCUGCAAUCUUUGUAACCAAAGGACAGCCUCGAAACUUUUUUGCUAUUUUUUCAGCAACUGACAAGAGAUGUGCAUAAUCUUCCGGAUUCAAACCACCAAAUGCACACUUCUUGAAGAGCAUACAAUUUUCAUCUUCAUUUAAUCCAUUUAAGUGCAAAUAGUCCUUUCUACUUCUCAUCACACCUGUAACCAUAUCUGCCACAGAUCUCAUUCGGGUUGUCAGCAGGAUCUUGCUUCCUGUUUGGAUACUCCGCAAAGGUGCCAUUAAAUUUUCCCAUUCACUAAUUUUGUUAUCUUCCCAAACAUCAUCCAGAAUAAGCAGAACUUUCUUACGGUCCAGUUUGUCUUUGAGAAUUUGUUGCAAUGCUUGCAAAGUAUCAGCAUUAGGCUUCUCUUUUGUAACUGCCUCCAAGAUCUUUUUCAUUACCCUUGUUGAACUGAAAACAUUAUCAGAAACAUGUACCCACAAAACACAGUCAAAGUGUGCUGAACCUUUCAAUUCUUCGCACACAAUCUGAGCAAGGGUUGUCUUUCUCCAAUUCUGAUUAUUGCAAAAACCGGUACCUGAAUAACAGUAUCUGGAUCAUCAUAUACAUUAUCAGUCAACCACCUUAUCACCUGGUUCUUCUCACUGUCACGACCAAAUAUCUCAAUAGGCACCAAAGUGGAGCUAGUCUGGUAUACACUUCUUUCAGCGCGAUCUUGCAGGACAAGAUUAUCAACACGGCAUAAAAGCUGAAGGAAACCACCCACAUCUUUAGCAACAGUUUCUAACUUCUCUAUGGCCUCCCUCAGCUUCUCUACCAUGUUUCCCUCAGGAGUCAUCCUUGCAGCCUUGCCAACAAUCUGUUCUUUGAAAAACUUUGUGAACGGAUUACGCACCUGUCCUAGGCUGUGGGCUUCUGCCUCUUCUUUAAGCUUGUGGUAGUCCAUCUCAUCAAGUGCAUCCUCAGCUUCCUCGACUGCAUCGCGGAAUCGCCAGAGCCACUCAGCUAGUCCAUUGCUCUCCUCACUGAUCUCCUGAUGAUCAACAACAUCGUACACCGCUUGGAUGUCCGUGAGCUUUUCUGACAGAUUAUUCUUGAGCUCCUCUAGAUCGUUAGGCUUGUACCACUCACUGAGAUAACCGAAUGCCUUGUUCAGGAUGAAUGAGAUGGCUGGGGUUGCAACCGACUUCCCUGCAAAGACUAGUGCAGCAGUAGCAGCCAUUGUUGUGGACAGGAGGUUUGGAUCUCGCUCUCUGGACAGGAAGCAGGAAGGACAAGGAGGAGUCAGGACUAACACAACUAAAGAAAGAUCUUUGCAGGCGACUUGUAGUCCUUGAUACCACAAUAUAAACCUUCAUUGACUUUAAGCAUCGAUUUUAUAAAAUGAUAUAGUUUUAAAAUGCUAAUAGAGCAUAUUAUUUUCGGUGGAACAUGGAGCUGGAGCGCAAUCAAAAUCCAUUAUUUUGACGUGGAGAUUCCUUUAGAGAGUUGUGUUUGACUUUGGAAUCGUUUACCGAAAUCAUUAAUUUCCAUGGAGGCACAUAUUGUACUUGUUUAAGCCAAACCACAAGUUCCGUGCAAGCACGUCAUAUAUUAAUAAAAGUGACAAGAAACUUGAUAACUAUUACUAGUUUAGUUAAGUGAACAUCGUGGAUGCGCCUAAUGCCAGUGGACAUGUUUAAUCGUGCAACUACAGUUAUUUACUAUUGAUCAAUCACUCACAUGAUCUGGUUCCAAGGUAGGGUCAACCGGUUCUGGCUACUGGUUUAUGGCCCUUCUGCAGUUCUGCAUCUAGUGCACAUGGAACAACUGAAACCUGAAUGCCUGAGUCUUUAGUUGCACCAAACUUCAUCUCUUCCUCACUUUGCUUUUUAGUUAAAUCUUAGUCUAUUAAAGACAUGUGAGUAUUAACUGUGUUAGAUAUUACAUUAGGACAUAAAUGGUUACAACACGUUCUUAAUGUCGUCGAGCCGUAGAUGCCUCUUCUUUGCCAAAAGAUAACUUGUAAAGUCUCCUUUUGGAACACCGAAAUAAGGGACGUCACACAGUAUAGAAUCUUGCAGAAUUUCAAACAUAGGAAUAGUAGACAUUUUGCGUACCUCAAAUUAAGAGCCGCGCUGUGUGAGGAGUGAAUGGUGCACAUUUGUUCCUGAUGCGAGGCUGUACUGUACAAGUUGGAAAUAAAAAAAACUUGUGUGCUUGCAGCAACGAAAAGGAGGCGAAGAGCCCUGAUCAGGUGCGUGUUGAAUUGUGGAAAUGCAGGGGAGGGGAAGCGCAGUCGAUUUCUGAAGCAAUUUACCCAGGUGAGAAGAUGGGGGCAUGAAUCAAAACAAAAGUACUUUUUGCUCAAGCAAAAGGUGGCGGCACAAUAGGAGCACUGGAUGUUGAUCAGCUAACAAGUGGCGGAUGCUUUCCAGGCAGGGGUGGAAGAUUCAGUGACAAGUAAGACCUGAUUCUAGUGUUGCACUUAAAAAACUAAGCUGCAUCAGUUUUAAUAUAUAGCCAUUUUGUUGUACAUAGGUGAAAAUAAAUCCUCUUCUCUUCCUUUCUAGGCAAAAUUUCAUCUAAUCUGAAACAAAUGUUAUCCCUACAAUAUUUUCAUGCUCGGCUGAAACAAAUUUUAGUUUUGUUGGAAUCAUCUUUUGGCUGCUGUGGAAAACAGUGGACAUGAACGAUCGAAACAAUUUCAGUAUGUUGCAACGGAAACAUCUGUCACAAAUGGUCGAACCAA